GACGAACGCUGGCGGCGUGCUUAACACAUGCAAGUCGAGCGGUAAGGCCCUUUCGGGGGUACACGAGCGGCGAACGGGUGAGUAACACGUGGGUGACCUGCCCUUAGCUCUGGGAUAAGCCUGGGAAACUGGGUCUAAUACCGGAUAUGACUCCAUGACGCAUGUUGUGGGGUGGAAAGCCUUGUGCGGCUAGGGAUGGGCCCGCGGCCUAUCAGCUUGUUGGUGGGGUGAUGGCCUACCAAGGCGACGACGGGUAGCCGGCCUGAGAGGGCGACCGGCCACACUGGGACUGAGACACGGCCCAGACUCCUACGGGAGGCAGCAGUGGGGGAAUCUUGCGCAAUGGGCGAAAGCCUGACGCAGCGACGCCGCGUGAGGGAUGACGGCCU
RNAcentral lists this ribosomal RNA (389 nucleotides) under uncultured bacterium. RNAcentral's name for it is "bacterial SSU rRNA". It matches the Rfam family "Bacterial small subunit ribosomal RNA", at positions 28 to 417 of the family's 1533-position model. The record is from RNAcentral.